Bolinopsis microptera is the source of this 4402-nucleotide RNA transcript. It is a transcript of the gene named inositol hexakisphosphate and diphosphoinositol-pentakisphosphate kinase 2-like, with no coding region annotated. The record is from RefSeq and is a predicted model, not a curated record. Lineage: Eukaryota; Metazoa; Ctenophora; Tentaculata; Lobata; Bolinopsidae. The transcript has 30 exons.
AGAUCACAUGGCAAUUAUGACUUACAAGGCAUGGUUUUCAUGUGAUACGUGACACGUGUAACUUAACAGCCAAUCUUUUAGCCACUGCCUAUUGUGUGAAUAAUUUCUGCUUGAGUCAGGAUGUUUUGACAAAAGAAUGCCAAACUAUAGGAAAAAAUCAGCCAAAAUGACGUUCAAAAAAUCACCCUCUGCUUCUACUAUCAAGACCCGCUCAGUCUUCCCUGCCAGACUGAGUGAACCGUCUUUAGCCAAAAAGUUUAAAAUUGGAAUUUGUGCGAUGGAAAACAAGAGUCGAUCAAUCCCCAUGAAGCAAAUACUCUCCAGAUUAGAUGCUCAAAACUUCUUUGAGAUAAUUGUUUUUACCAACCAAAUGUUAUUUGAUUUGAACAUAGAUGAGUGGCCUAGAGUUGACUGUCUGCUGGCGUUCUAUUCAACAGGUUUCCCUUUGGACAAAGCAAUUGCUUUUGGUAACAAAUACAAACCUUUUAUGAUCAAUGACCUUGAGAUGCAGAAAGUGAUACGGAACAGAGAAAAGGUCUACAGUCUUCUUAAAUCAGACAAUGUGCCGGUGCCGCGAUAUGAAGUCCUUAAGAGAAAAGAUGAUCUUAACCAAUCCUUAGAAGAUUCUCAAGUGAUGGAAGAACAUGAAGACCACCUGACCAUUAAUGAUCAAGUUUUUACAAAGCCGUUUGUGGAGAAGCCUGUGAACGCUGAUGAUCAUAAUAUCUACAUCUAUUACCCUCAAGCAGCUGGGGGAGGAAGUCAACGUCUUUUUAGAAAAGUAUACGAAAGAUCCAGUAUAUAUUCUCCAAUAUCAAGAGUCAGGAAAUUUGGAUCUUACAUCUAUGAGGAUUUCAUGCCCACAGAUGGUCAAGAUGUUAAGGUAUACACAGUUGGCUUGCAUUAUGCUCAUGCUGAAGCAAGAAAAUCUCCUACACUUGAUGGAAGAGUUGAGAGGGAUAAAGAUGGGAAGGAGCUGAGGUAUCCUGUUAUUCUCAGCGCCAAGGAGAAGGAAAUUGCCAGACUUGUAGCUCUGGCUUUUAAGCAAAACAUCUGUGGGUUCGAUCUGCUGCGAGCUAAUGGACAAGUAUACGUUUGUGAUGUAAACGGAUUCAGCUUCGUCAAAAACAGCCCCAAAUAUUACGACGACUGUGCGCAAGUCUUAGGAGAGUUGGUGCUGAAUAACCUGUGUCCGGAGCUAGUGUACGUGUUAAAACAGCGGAUAAACCCAACAAUACCCGUCACACCAGAACAGGCCAAAAACGACAGUGCAAGUAACCCGCGUUUGGAGCUUAGAUGUGUGUUAGCAAUAGUGAGACAUGGAGAUAGGACUCCCAAACAGAAGAUGAAGAUGAUCGCAAAGGAACAACGGUUUAUAGACUUGUUCAAGAAGUACGCCAAGGACGGAGACAAGGAGCUAAAACUAAAGAGACCCGCCCAAAUGAAGGAGGUCCUGGAAAUGACCAGAGAACUGAUAGUGGAGAAGGAAAACGCGGGAAACUCUGACAACGUGGAGAAACUGAAAGUACUGAAAUCGGUACUGGAAAUGUACGGGCACUUCUCGGGGGUGAACAGGAAGGUACAGUUAAAGUGGGUAACAAACAAACCCCCUAACAAGACACCUCUGAAGAGAAUAGAGCAGAUUAUAGAGGAGUACGAGGAAUCUCCUACAGAGCACCCCGAACAAAAGCUCCUGCUCAUCCUAAAGUGGGGAGGCGAGCUGACGAUGGCAGGACGAGCUCAGAGCGAGUGUAUGGGAGAUUCCUUCCGGUCCGUCUACCCUAACAAAAACGAUUACAGUGCGUUGCCGGGAAGUGGAUUUAUACGACUUCACAGCACAUACCGUCACGACCUAAAGAUAUACGCAAGCGACGAGGGCAGAGUUCAGACAACUGCUGCUGCUUUCGCUAAGGGAUUGUUAAGUCUGGACGGUGAGAUAGCACCCAUACUAUAUCACUUGGUGAGGUCACAUAAAACUGAUAAACUACUUGACCAGCCACCUUCUGGUCCUGGCAAACGCAUUAUGGCUAACGUAAAACUGCGACUGCACAAGAUGAUCCAUAACAAGGAAGAAUUCACAGAGGAAGAUUAUAAGAAGUUCGCUCCAACAGGAUCUCAGUCCCUCAUGGACAGUAUGAGAAUCAUCAAGAAUCCGUACAAGAAGUGCUGUGAGCUGCUGCAGUUCGUCAAGAACAUUGUCCAACAGAUUAAAGAUAUCAGCGACAAUCCCGAACUUGUCGCAGAAUAUAAUCCGCUGUACCACGACGAGAGUGUACAGUUAAUGUUAGGACGAUGGUCAAAACUAGAGAAGGAUUUCCAGUCCAAGGACGGCUCAUUUGAUAUCAGCAAGAUACCCGACAUAUUCGAUAAUAUCAAGUAUGACGUGCAGCACAACAGCAAGCUGGGACUGAAGAACACUAUUCGUCUCUACUCCUGUGUCAAACCUUUAGCUGAUCUCAUCGUACCCCAGGAGUACGGAAUUACAGAGCCGGAGAAAGUGGAGAUAGGGAGGAUGAUUCUUAGUCCUCUGGUCAGAAAACUGUUGGCAGAUCUGAAAGUAGCCAGUACAGACGACAAUUCUGAUAAUCCCUAUCGGCUUAAUGCCUCGUACAUGCCGAACGUGCUGACCCCUGGACGGUAUGUGAGAACUCGGCUUUACUUCACCUCCGAGUCCCUCAUACACUCUUUCCUGAAUAUUAUCAGAUAUGCUGGACUCUGCAAUCCAGAGGAUCAGGACGAGUCCUGGAAAGAAGCCAUGGAAUAUCUAGGAAGUGUACGUGAAGCGCAGUACCAUACCCAAAUUGUUCUAAUGAUGUACGAGGACAGGCAUCUACCAGAAAGUGACCCUAAUAGGUUCAGAGUUUCCAUUAACUUCUCCCCUGGUACCGCUGCUUGUCAGAGGAAAGUGAACGAGAGACUCAACGCUAUGUCAGAGCGGUUGUCUGAAAGUGGCGGUGGUGAUAUUAACAAGAUAUUAUCAGAGAUAUUGCUCGAGAAUGGCGAGAUCUCGUCCGGUGCAGUCACACCAGCUGAAGCAGAAGACAGUGAAAAUGAGGCUCCGCUCCCCGAGUUCCCUGAGGCGAUGGAUGAUUCAAUGCCUCCAGUGCAAGAAGUAGAGUCUGUGGACUCCAUGAAGUUCCUUACUAAAGCUGAACUAGUCGAACAGAUUGUCAGACCUUUGGAGGAGGGAGAUCUAGUAGACGCUAACUGGACAGCUCUGUUGAGAACCCAGCCCUGUUCUCCUGAGGACGCCGCUUUUAGGGAGUGGUUAAACAGCUUCCCUAAAGAGAGGAGGUUCUCACCUGCUGCUCUCCGAUACGCAGCGGCAAUAUUUACUGAGGGAGACGGACAUGAAGCAGUGGAACCCCUGGUUACCCUUCACAACAACAUUCCUCUUCACCAGUUUGAAGCGUUCCUUCAGAAGAUAGCUGAAGCUAAGAUGUAACAGACCUAAUGGAUUGCGAACAGUCGGAUAUCCACUUUUUCGACCCCACUCCUUCUCCAGUACCGCUUCAAGGGAUACUGCAACACCAGAACAAUUUCAAGACAUAGAGCGAGAGAACACCCCACAGCCCGACCAGCACCCUUUAAAAAUGCAGUCCUCACAGUUCGACAGAAACCAAAACCCUCUUAGUCCUACCAGUUACCGGGGGUAGAACCCCGCUAUCUCAUAGCUUCUCGAAUAGGAGUAGGGCACAUUGGACUUUCUAGUUCUCACUUUUUACCUGCCACACUUCAGAAUUACUGGCACAGAGCCAAUGCUGAAUACUGGCACAGAGACACGAGACUUAACAGGCCAAUUUUAGAACUUAAUGGAAAGAAAUUAUUGUUGGGUCCUCGCCACUAAAGUUCUAAUAAGGGAAACCUUCAAACUCAAUCCAGAUUAUAUGCUGGUUUGGUAUUCGUGUUCUACAUUAAUAUUGAAGAAAGAAAGAUUUCUGCAAACUUUCAGGUAUAAUCUAAAGAUAACAGAUAAGAGUGCUUGGUGUAGUAAUUAAUACGUUUUUAUUAGUGUGACUUUAAAUUGUUUUAUGUAGGAGGACGUGUUAAGUCUAUCAUUUUAUUUCGGAUGAAUUUUAUUUAAUAGCUUUAGCUUUAGAAUAAAAGAUAAAAACAUGGUCUAGACCACCAGUAUUUAUGUUAGGUAGACAUUUAAACUGCAUUUUCGAUUCGAUUUCUUAUUUAUAAUGGUCAGCGUGCACCGAUGAUGUCAGUUUUAGCCUAAUGCAUCUAUGAAUCAUUUUCUUGCUAUUUUCUGCUGAUUCUUUUUGUUGAAUAUUUAAACCUAAAAGUUAAAUACGGGACUUAGUGCAAAUGUAAUGAUUAAAUGACGGGAGAAUUUAGCAUUCACAAUUCAAAUGUAAAACGAUUUUUAUAAAUUUGCAAACCAAUAAUGAAAUAA